UCUGCAUCUCCAUCUCUCUUUUUCAGUUUUUAAAAUAAAUGUUGAGUAAGUCUGUGGGAAGAAUGGUAAAAUUUAAGAAUGUUUUAUUUUGUUAUUUCUUUAUAGUACUUGAUAGGAGAGAAGACAACUUAAAAGAGAAACCAAAUGAGAAAAGCAGCACCGGCAGAGAUUAAGUUAGACCUAGAGUCUCAAAGGUCUGGAGUUGUGGCGCAGGGCAGGAAGAUGCUGCUCGGGAGACCGUAUUUUGUAUUAGAGCACUGGUUCCAGUCCUGGCUACCCUGAUUCCAACCCAGCUCUGUCAAUGCAUCACGGGAGACAGCAUAUGAUGACGCCAAUACUUGGGUCCCUGUUAACCAUGUGGAAGACCCAAAUGGAGUUCUACCAAAUGGUUCCUGGCUUCAGCCUAGCCCAACUCCUUAAGCUAUAAACAUACAGCCAGUGAACCAGUGUAAGGAAGAUAUCUCUCUAUUUCCCUCUCUCUGUGUCUCUCUAUAUUUUAUGAAGAGGAAAAUAAAUUUAAAAAAUAACAACCAUUUUAAACAA
Molecule: non-coding RNA, 543 nt
Organism: Oryctolagus cuniculus (rabbit)
Lineage: Eukaryota; Metazoa; Chordata; Mammalia; Lagomorpha; Leporidae
Source: RefSeq, a predicted model, not a curated record